RNAcentral lists this transfer RNA (73 nucleotides) under Dipodomys ordii (Ord's kangaroo rat). It matches the Rfam family "tRNA". From Rfam's summary of the family: Transfer RNA (tRNA) molecules are approximately 80 nucleotides in length. Their secondary structure includes four short double-helical elements and three loops (D, anti-codon, and T loops). Lineage: Eukaryota; Metazoa; Chordata; Mammalia; Rodentia; Heteromyidae. The record is from Rfam by way of RNAcentral.
AGAGGGAUGGCUCAAGUGGUAGAGCAUUUGCCUAUCAGGUGCAAGGCUCUGAGUUCAAACCCCGGUACUUCUU